Molecule: ribosomal RNA, 253 nt
Filed under: uncultured bacterium
Lineage: Bacteria
Description: partial 16S ribosomal RNA
Rfam family: Bacterial small subunit ribosomal RNA
Source: RNAcentral
UAUGUAGGGUGCGAGCGUUGUCCGGAAUUAUUGGGCGUAAAGGGCUCGUAGGCGGUCUGUCGCGUCGGGAGUGAAAACUCAGGGCUUAACCCUGAGCCUGCUUCCGAUACGGGCAGACUAGAGGUAUGCAGGGGAGAACGGAAUUCCUGGUGUAGCGGUGGAAUGCGCAGAUAUCAGGAGGAACACCGGUGGCGAAGGCGGUUCUCUGGGCAUUACCUGACGCUGAGGAGCGAAAGUGUGGGGAGCGAACAGG